AUGGGAAACAAUAAAGCUACUGACCUAUUCAAUUCCAUCAUCAAUACUCUAGCCCUUCGAGAAAUACACAUUAGUGGGGGUAAGUAUACAUGGACCAACAAUCAGGCUCACCCCACCGUGGAAAAGCUAGAUCGCAUCCUGAUGUCCGAAAGUUGGGAAGAUGCUUUCCCAAUGGUUUCUGUGAGGAAAUUAGUUCAAGAAAUCUCUGACCAU
This 213-nucleotide ribosomal RNA is filed under the name Triticum aestivum (bread wheat). RNAcentral's name for it is "partial small subunit ribosomal RNA". The record is from RNAcentral. Lineage: Eukaryota; Viridiplantae; Streptophyta; Magnoliopsida; Poales; Poaceae.